GACGAACGCUGGCGGCGUGCUUAACACAUGCAAGUCGAACGGAAAGGCCCUGCUUUUGUGGGGUGCUCGAGUGGCGAACGGGUGAGUAACACGUGAGUAACCUGCCCUUGACUUUGGGAUAACUUCAGGAAACUGGGGCUAAUACCGGAUAGGAGCUCCUGCUGCAUGGUGGGGGUUGGAAAGUUUCGGCGGUUGGGGAUGGACUCGCGGCUUAUCAGCUUGUUGGUGGGGUAGUGGCUUACCAAGGCUUUGACGGGUAGCCGGCCUGAGAGGGUGACCGGCGACAUUGGGACUGCGGUACGGAGCAGACGCGAACGGUAGGCAGCAGUGGGGAGUAUUGCACAAUGGGCGGAAGCGUGAUGCAGCAACGCCGGGUGCGGGAUGACGGCCUUCGGGUAGUAAACCGCUUUCGCCUGUGACGAAGCGUGAGUGACGGUAAUGGGUAAAGAAGCACCGGCUAACUACGUG
This 468-nucleotide ribosomal RNA is filed under the name uncultured bacterium. RNAcentral's name for it is "partial 16S ribosomal RNA". It matches the Rfam family "Bacterial small subunit ribosomal RNA", at positions 28 to 507 of the family's 1533-position model. The record is from RNAcentral.